RNAcentral lists this non-coding RNA (117 nucleotides) under Solanum lycopersicum (tomato). Lineage: Eukaryota; Viridiplantae; Streptophyta; Magnoliopsida; Solanales; Solanaceae. The record is from RNAcentral.
GUCGACUUCACAGAGCAACGAAUAGCUUCCGUUUUGUGUAGUGGAAGGGAUACCGAGCCAGUGUCAUACACGUCCAACGAAUGUCUAAUGGGCUGCUCUAAUUAAACCACCACAUUU